UUAGUUGAGUUGAGUUGAGUUUAUUAUCAUGAAUAUGGCAAUGGCAUUUGUUAGGACAUGUUUAUGGUUCAAUCAAAUCUUAUUGAAUUCUCACUUAUUGACAUCAGUUUUCUUCCUUCACCUAGUGGUCACAGGAGUUGAUGAAAAUGCUUUAUUUUGUUGAGCACUUAUCAUCGUUUUGCUGGGUUGGUUGACCACUGGUCGAAAUCUCUCUCAUUUUUUUUUUUUU
Molecule: unclassified non-coding RNA, 229 nt
Filed under: Hevea brasiliensis (rubber tree)
Lineage: Eukaryota; Viridiplantae; Streptophyta; Magnoliopsida; Malpighiales; Euphorbiaceae
Source: RNAcentral